GAUGAACGCUGGCGGCGUGCCUAAUACAUGCAAGUCGAGCGAACGGACGAGAAGCUUGCUUCUCUGAUGUUAGCGGCGGAGGGGUGAGUAACACGUGGAUAACCUACCUAUAAGACUGGGAUAACUUCGGGAAACCGGAGCUAAUACCGGAUAAUAUUUUGAACCGCAUGGGUCAAAAGAGAAAGACGGUGUUGCUGUAACUUAUAGAUGGAUACGCGCUGCAUUAGCUAGUUGGUAAGGUAACGGCUUACGAAGGCAACGAUGCAUAGCCGACCUGAGAGGGUGAUCGGCCACACUGGAACUGAGACACGGUCCAGACUCCUACGGGAGGCAGCAGUAGGGAAUCUUCCGCAAUGGGCGAAAGCCUGACGGAGCAACGCCGCGUGAGUGAUGAAGGUCUUCGGAUCGUAAAACUCUGUUAUUAGGGAAGAACAUAUGUGUAAGUAACUGUGCACAUCUUGACGGUACCUAAUCAGAAAGCCACGGCUAACUACGUG
RNAcentral lists this ribosomal RNA (497 nucleotides) under uncultured bacterium. RNAcentral describes it as "partial 16S ribosomal RNA". It matches the Rfam family "Bacterial small subunit ribosomal RNA", at positions 28 to 507 of the family's 1533-position model. The record is from RNAcentral.